RNAcentral lists this ribosomal RNA (787 nucleotides) under uncultured archaeon. Its description in RNAcentral is "bacterial SSU rRNA". It matches the Rfam family "Archaeal small subunit ribosomal RNA", at positions 85 to 879 of the family's 1478-position model. The record is from RNAcentral.
ACGGCUCAGUAACACGUAGCUAACCUACCCUUAAGUCAAGAAUAACCUCGGGAAACUGAGGAUAAAUCUUGAUAAAAAAUAUUUUCUGGAAUGAGAUAUUUUUGAAACUCGGGCUUAAGGAUGGGGCUGCGGCUGAUUAGGUUGUUGUUGGUGUAAUGGACUUACAAGCCGAUGAUCAGUAAGGGUUCUUAGCGGAAGAGCCCUGAGAGGGAAUCUGAGACACUAUUCCCAGCUCUACGGGGUGCAGCAGUCGAGGAAGUUUUACGAUGCUCGAAAGAGUGAUAAAAUAAGCCAGAGUGUUUCUCCUUGAGAAACUUUUGUCUGUUGUAAAAAGACAGGCGAAUAAGGACUGGGCAAGAUCGGUGCCAGCCGCCGCGGUAAUCCCGACGCUCCAAGUCGCAGCCACAAUUAUUGGGUCUAAAACAUUCGUAGCUUGUUUUGACAGUUCCUUGUGAAAUCUUAACUCUUAAGGUUAAGGCGUGCAAGGAAUACUACAAAACUAGAGACCGGAAGAAGUAAGAAGUAUGAUCGAGGUAGUGAUAAAAUACGUUAAUCUUGAUCAGACUAACAAUGGCGAAGGCACUUUGCAAGUACGGAUCUGACAGUGAGGGAUGAAGGCUAGGGGCGCGAAAGGGAUUAGAUACCCCUGUAGUCCUAGCAGUAAACACUGUUCACUAAACAUUAGUAUCUCUUAGAGAGGUAUUAGUGCUGUAGGGAAGCCGAAGAGUGAACUACCUGGGAAGUAUAGUCGCAAGGCCGAAACUUAAAGGAAUUGGCGGGGGAGCAC